Molecule: ribosomal RNA, 445 nt
Filed under: uncultured bacterium
Lineage: Bacteria
Description: partial 16S ribosomal RNA
Rfam family: Bacterial small subunit ribosomal RNA
Source: RNAcentral
GUAGGGAAUAUUGGGCAAUGGAGGCAACUCUGACCCAGCCAUGCCGCGUGCAGGAUGACGGCCCUCUGGGUUGUAAACUGCUUUUAUACGGGAAGAAAAAAUACUACGUGUAGUAUACUGACGGUACCGUAAGAAUAAGGAUCGGCUAACUCCGUGCCAGCAGCCGCGGUAAUACGGAGGAUCCAAGCGUUGUCCGGAUUUAUUGGGUUUAAAGGGUGCGUAGGCAGAUCUUUAAGUCAGUGGUGAAAGCCUGCAGCUUAACUGUAGAAUUGCCAUUGAAACUGAAGAUCUUGAAUGUGGUUAAAGUAGGCGGAAUGUACCAUGUAGCGGUGAAAUGCUUAGAUAUGAUACAGAACACCGAUAGCGAAGGCAGCUUGCUGAACCAUUAUUGACGCUGAGGCACGAAAGCGUGGGGAGCGAACAGGAUUAGAUACCCUAGUAGUCC